This 1938-nucleotide long non-coding RNA is filed under the name Homo sapiens (human). RNAcentral describes it as "PCBP1 antisense RNA 1, transcript variant 55 (PCBP1-AS1)". Lineage: Eukaryota; Metazoa; Chordata; Mammalia; Primates; Hominidae. The record is from RNAcentral.
GUCCCCGGCGUCCGGGCGCCCUGCAUGGAUCCCCCACCCCAGCUCCUGCUCCCCGGCGGCGGCCGGUGGGCAGAAAGACCGAAACCCACUCACGGCCGCCUGCCGAAUCGCGGCUCUGCUGUUUGUGGGGCGUGCUAGAAACGUGGUCCUAAAAAGAAUGGCGUCCAUUUACAUAAUGCUUUGUUUGCGUUUCGCAAGUUUCUUUCGGUUAAAGCCACAGAAACCCCACCUCCUGCCCUUGUGUCGUUUCCACCGCGGCACCCUUUUCCGACAUUAGAAACAAUAGUGUACGCCUGUGGAGGCCUCGUUUGUUCAGGGGCUGCCGGCCAGGGCUUCAGGACGUUUCUGCGGCUUUCCCCGCGCGGCCUGGGCUCCCGCGGCUGCUUUUCGGGCCCAUGGGCGCAGCCACUGCGCCAGGCUCAAGGGGGGCGGCCCCGUCAGGGCCCGCCAUCUUGGAAGGCCUUUUUUGCCGGUUCUUCCCGCUGAGGAAGUGUCGCUCAAGACGCUGGCCUAUGAGUUGUGAUUUCUGCCUUUUCCCCUUCCUCCUUGGGCUAAGCCAGACCAGAAAGGGCCCCGUGCGCAACGUGCUUCACAAUCUCUCAGGGAAAGCGGCUAACGUGGCGCUACUCCGCCUCCCCUGUUCCUUACCCUUGGGGCGGCCGCCAUGUUUCCUGAACACAAAAUGGCGACACGUGGUUAGCAUUCGUCGCCAACGAGAAAUUGGGGUCGGCCCGAAAGCUCUAGAAUGCACCCCUCUUCCUCCCCGGGGCCUUCCACCUCCGCGAGUUUUAUGACUUAAAAAAGCCCACAGGCUGGUCUGAAGGUCGGAGGCCUAAUUUUAACGCGUUUUCCUCCCUUUAAUUUGAAACGGGAACGCGAAUGACUGUAAAAUGUGGGCACAAUAUUUAAUCUCUCGCCUUUUUAAAGCUUAAUAGUGGAUAAUAGGGGGGCAGUAUCAAGGGAUAAUUUGGGUCCCCACAGUACCAAAGCAUUUAGAAACCUCUGUUUAAUUUAAGGAAUGAGAUAAGUUACUGCUUUUCUAGACUUCCUAGCAUGGGCUGUUGUGCUGGAGAGAACGAGAGCUACGAAGAGACUACAGUGCCUCUGACUUUUUCAUAGGACAGUUGGCCGAGGAAGACAAACAUAAAGAUGAAGUGCUUAAUUCAAGGUCACACAAUGUCGGGGAUGGACCUCCAGAUUUCCUUACUGGAAAACAAGCUCAGGGCUCCCACUGAUUGUACAUUAUGAGACGGAGUCUUGCUAUGUUGCCCAGGCUGGUCUUGAACUCCUCACCUCAAGCGAUCCUCCCGUCUUGGCCUCCCAAGUGUCAGGAUUACGGGCAUGUGCUAUCACACCCAACCUGAUACAUUGCCUUUAUAAAUUUUUUUUUCUUUAUUCUAAAAACCAGAAAAAACAAAACUGGAUACAUGUGCAGAACAUGCAGGUUUGUUACAUAGCUGUACGUGUGCCAUGGUGGUUUGCUGCACCUAUUGACCUAUCCUACCAAGUGUGUUGGGGACUUGAGAUGCGUACAUGAGUGUGAUGUUUCCUGCUGAAAGCACAGGUGAGACGUGGUCUUGUAACACAGUGGUUAAGAAUGUGACUUUGGAGCCAGCCUGCUAGGGGCUGAAUUCUGACUCAGCCAUUUACUAACUGUGUGACCUUAGUCUGUCUAGUGACUGGUGUUGUCAUAAGAAGAGAGGGACACAGAGGGAAGAUGGCCACAUGAAGAUGGAGGCAGAGAUUGCAGUUAUGCUGCUGCAAACUAAGGAAUGGCUCUGGCCCUCCAAGGAUUGCUGAUAACCACCAGAAACUAGAAGAGACAAGGAAGGAUUCUUCCCUAGAGCCUUCAGAGGGAGCAUGGCCCUACUGACACCUGGAUUUCAAACUUGUAGCUUCCUAAACUGCAAGAGAAUAAAUUUCUGUUGUUUUAAGCCA